This 731-nucleotide ribosomal RNA is filed under the name uncultured Bilophila sp. RNAcentral's name for it is "bacterial SSU rRNA". It matches the Rfam family "Bacterial small subunit ribosomal RNA", at positions 1 to 659 of the family's 1533-position model. Lineage: Bacteria; Pseudomonadati; Thermodesulfobacteriota; Desulfovibrionia; Desulfovibrionales; Desulfovibrionaceae. The record is from RNAcentral.
CCANGCGUUNGGAGCUCUCCCNUAUGGUCGACCUGCAGGCGGCCGCGAAUUCACUAGUGAUUAGAGUUUGAUCCUGGCUCAGAUUGAACGCUGGCGGCGUGCUUAACACAUGCAAGUCGAACGUGAAAGUCCUUCGGGGCGAGUAAAGUGGCGCACGGGUGAGUAACGCGUGGAUAAUCUACCCUUAAGAUGGGGAUAACGGCUGGAAACGGUCGCUAAUACCGAAUACGCUCCCGAUUUUAUCAUUGGGGGGAAAGAUGGCCUCUGCUUGCAAGCUAUCGCUUAAGGAUGAGUCCGCGUCCCAUUAGCUAGUUGGCGGGGUAACGGCCCACCAAGGCAACGAUGGGUAGCCGGUCUGAGAGGAUGACCGGCCACACUGGAACUGGAACACGGUCCAGACUCCUACGGGAGGCAGCAGUGGGGAAUAUUGCGCAAUGGGCGAAAGCCUGACGCAGCGACGCCGCGUGAGGGAUGAAGGUUCUCGGAUCGUAAACCUCUGUCAGGGGGGAAGAAACCCCCUCGUGUGAAUAAUGCGAGGGCUUGACGGUACCCCCAAAGGAAGCACCGGCUAACUCCGUGCCAGCAGCCGCGGUAAUACGGAGGGUGCAAGCGUUAAUCGGAAUCACUGGGCGUAAAGCGCACGUAGGCGGCUUGNUAAGUCANGGGUGAAAUCCCACAGCCCAACUGUGGAACUGCCNUUGAUACUGCCNNGCUUGAGUACCGGANNGGGU